RNAcentral lists this ribosomal RNA (406 nucleotides) under uncultured bacterium. Its description in RNAcentral is "partial 16S ribosomal RNA". It matches the Rfam family "Bacterial small subunit ribosomal RNA", at positions 30 to 526 of the family's 1533-position model. The record is from RNAcentral.
AUUGAACGCUGGCGGUAGGCCUAACACAUGCAAGUCGAACGAGUGGCGGACGGGUGAGUAAUGUCUGGGCAACUGCCUGAUGGAGGGGGAUAACUACUGGAAACCGUAGCUAAUACCGCAUUCCCUAGGCUGUGCCCAGCUGUGAUUAGCGAGUAGGUGGGGUAAAGGCUCACCUAGGCGACGAUCCCCAGCUGGUCUGAGAGGAUGACCAGCCACACUGGAACUGAGACACGGUCCAGACUCCGACGGGAGGCAGCAGUGGGGAAUAUUGCACAAUGGGAGCAAGCCUGAUGCAGCCAUGCCGCGUGUAUGAAGAAGGCCUUCGGGUUGUAAAGUACUUUCAGUGGGGAGGCGUUAACCACAGAAGAAGCACCGGCUAACUCCGUGCCAGCAGCCGCGGUAAUAC